GGGGCGGAUGUAGCCAAGUGGAUUAAGGCAGUGGAUUGUGAAUUCACCAUCGCG
This 54-nucleotide transfer RNA is filed under the name Arabidopsis thaliana (thale cress). Its description in RNAcentral is "partial tRNA-His". RNAcentral also lists the same sequence under 3 other names. Lineage: Eukaryota; Viridiplantae; Streptophyta; Magnoliopsida; Brassicales; Brassicaceae. The record is from RNAcentral.